This 240-nucleotide ribosomal RNA is filed under the name uncultured bacterium. RNAcentral describes it as "partial 16S ribosomal RNA". It matches the Rfam family "Bacterial small subunit ribosomal RNA", at positions 118 to 353 of the family's 1533-position model. The record is from RNAcentral.
UGAGGAACCUGCCUUGGAGAGGGGGAAUAACACUCCGAAAGGAGUGCUAAUACCGCAUGAUGCAGUUGGGUCGCAUGGCUCUGACUGCCAAAGAUUUAUCGCUCUGAGAUGGCCUCGCGUCUGAUUAGCUAGUAGGCGGGGUAACGGGCCCACCUAGGCGACGAUCAGUAGCCGGACUGAGAGGUUGACCGGCCACAUUGGGACUGAGACACGGCCCAGACUCCUACGGGAGGCAGCAUG